GAAGGAUCAUUAUCGUACAAAAUGCUAGUGAGAGCGUGCAAGGGUUGUCGCUGACUUUUAACGCAAAAGUACGUGCACGCCGGGAGUGUGUCCUCUCACAUAAAACUGCCAUCUCACUCCUUUUGUGCACCACCGCGUGGGCACCCUUCGGGAUCGAACCGGUCCAGGAGGGGGCUUGCGUUUUCACACAAACCCCUUUUUAAAAGUGUAGAAUGACCCCAUUUUUGCGAUAACACGCAAUCAAUACAACUUUCAACAACGGAUCUACUUGGCUCUCGCAUCGAUGAAGAACGCAACGAAAUGCGAUACGUAAUGUGAAUUGCAGAAUUCAGUGAAUCAUCGAAUCUUUGAACGCACCUUGCGCCCCUUGGUAUUCCGAGGGGCACACCCGUUUGAGUGUCGUGAAAAUCUCAACCUUCUUGGUUUCUUCUGGACACCAAAGGAGGCUUGGACCUUGGAGGCCUUUGCUGGCGUCUCUCUCUUUUGAGAGCCAGCUCCUCUUAAAUGAAUUAGCGGGGUCCUCUUUGCUGGUGCCUCGACAUGUGAUAAGUAUGCUUCCAUGUACUAUGGUUUCUGGUCUCUGUUGCUUUUGGGAUCCGCUUGCUAACCGUACUCGACGAGCACAACGUUCGAGCGCGUCUCCCCUUCCUCGGGAGACCCUGCUCGCACCUCACGAACCCUUGACCUC
Molecule: ribosomal RNA, 688 nt
Filed under: Lactarius scrobiculatus
Lineage: Eukaryota; Fungi; Basidiomycota; Agaricomycetes; Russulales; Russulaceae
Description: eukaryotic LSU rRNA
Rfam family: 5.8S ribosomal RNA (bases 248-402)
Source: RNAcentral